CUGCAGCCUUCAGGCAGGGUGUCUACUCAGCCAGUGCUAAAGGCAUAUCCUCCAGACUGGCAGGACUGUGCCUGGCCGGCAAUGAUGCCUGUCAAUGCACAAAGAUCUGGGGGAACACAGGCACAAUAAUGGUUGGGAUAAAGAUUUUGUUAUUUGUGCUGCCACUUCUACUGCAGAACCUCUUUGAGAUGAUGGCUAAUAGUGUCAAUUCUGUGAGGUUACCACCGACAUCGGAGUGAUGAUGGCGGAAUUGGACCUGUUGAGC
This is a non-coding RNA of Pelobates cultripes (western spadefoot toad), 265 nucleotides long. The record is from the annotation of a GenBank genome assembly. NCBI's taxonomy places the organism in Eukaryota, Metazoa, Chordata, Amphibia, Anura, Pelobatidae.